This 1861-nucleotide ribosomal RNA is filed under the name marine metagenome. Its description in RNAcentral is "bacterial LSU rRNA". It matches the Rfam family "Bacterial large subunit ribosomal RNA", at positions 707 to 2594 of the family's 2925-position model. The record is from RNAcentral.
UUACAGACCCGAACCCGGAUGAUCUAACCAUGGCCAGUGUGAAGCUUAGGUAACACUAAGUGGAGGCACGAACCGACUGAUGUUGAAAAAUCAGCGGAUGAGUUGUGGUUAGGGGUGAAAUGCCAAUCGAAUCCGGAGCUAGCUGGUUCUCCCCGAAAUGCGUUUAGGCGCAGCGGUUAGUGCUAUAGCUUAGGGGUAAAGCACUGUUUCGGUGCGGGCUGCUAACGCGGUACCAAAUCGAUGCAAACUCUGAAUACUAAGUGUGUAACUAACCAGUAAGACUGUGGGGGAUAAGCUCCAUUGUCAAGAGGGAAACAGCCCAGACCACCAGCUAAGGCCCCUAAAUGAUUACUAAGUGAUAAAGGAUGUGGGAAUGCUGAGACAAUCAGGAGGUUCGCCUAGAAGCAGCUAUCCUUUAAAGAGUGCGUAAUAGCUCACUGAUCAAGCGCACCUGCGCCGAAAAUGAACGGGGCUAAGUAAUCUGCCGAAGCUGUGGGAUCUUUUAGAUCGGUAGGGGAGCGUUCCACAAUAGAUUGAAGCAUUAGCGUAAGCGGAUGUGGACGAAGUGGAAGUGAGAAUGUCGGCUUGAGUAGCGAAAACAUUGGUGAGAAUCCAAUGCCCCGAAAACCUAAGGUUUCCUCCGGAAGGCUCGUCCGCGGAGGGUGAGUCAGGACCUAAGGCGAGGCCGAAAGGCGUAGCUAAUGGACAACGGGUUAAUAUUCCCGUACCAUCUAUUGCUGAUAUCGAGGGACGGAGAAGGCUAGACCAGCCGGAUGUUGGUUACCGGUUUAAGCGUUAAAGGUGUUGAAGAGCGGCGAAAACGCUCUGAGCUAAGGCGUGAAUACGAAAUACCAAGGUAUUGAAGUGGUUGAUGUCAUACUUCCAAGAAAAGCUCGGAAUAUCAUAAGUUAUAGAUGCCUGUACCCGAAACCGACACAGGUAGGUAGGUAGAGCAUACCAAGGGGCGCGAGAUAACUCUCUCUAAGGAACUCGGCAAAAUUACCUCGUAACUUCGGAAAAAGAGGUACCCCUUUAGGGGGGUUGCAAUACAUUGACCCUGGCGACUGUUUACCAAAAACACAGGUCUCCGCUAAUUCGUAAGAAAAAGUAUGGGGGCUGACGCCUGCCCAGUGCCGGAAGGUUAAAGAAGUUGGUUAGUCUUCGGACGAAGCUAGCGACUGAAGCCCCGGUGAACGGCGGCCGUAACUAUAACGGUCCUAAGGUAGCGAAAUUCCUUGUCGGGUAAGUUCCGACCCGCACGAAAGGCGUAACGAUCAGGGCACUGUCUCGGAGAGAGACUCGGUGAAAUAGAAUUGUCUGUGAAGAUGCGGACUACCUGCACCUGGACAGAAAGACCCUAUGAAGCUUUACUGUAUCUUGGAAUUGGGUUUGGUCUUUACUUGCGCAGGAUAGGUGGGAGGCUUUGAUGGUAUUCUUGCGGGAAUAUCGGAGCCAAUGGUGAGAUACCACUCUAGUAAGGCUAAAAUUCUAACUUCGAACCGUUAUCCGGUCGAAGAACAGUUUCAGGUGGGCAGUUUGACUGGGGCGGUCGCCUCCUAAAAGGUAACGGAGGCGUGCAAAGGUUCCCUCAGGCUGGUUGGAAAUCAGUCGUAGAGUGUAAAGGCAUAAGGGAGCUUGAUUGUGAGACAUACAAGUCGAACAAAGACGAAAGUCGGCCUUAGUGAUCCGGCGGUACCGAGUGGAAGGGCCGUCGCUCAACGGAUAAAAGUUACUCUAGGGAUAACAGGCUGAUCUCCCCCAAGAGUUCAUAUCGACGGGGAGGUUUGGCACCUCGAUGUCGGCUCGUCGCAUCCUGGGGCGGUAGUACGUCCCAAGGGUUGGGCUGUUCGCCCAUGAAAGC